GCCGAGUACAAGCUCCUUUGUGAGUGUUGGAGGGACAUUGGGCAAGACCCCAAGGUCGGUGCCAAACUAAAGGCAUCAACCUUUUGGACUCGUGUGCUUCACGAGUUCCAUGAACGCGAGAAGUUUCUGUCAUACCAAAUGCAAAGCACGCGCGGGUGGGUGUCCAUUUCAAAGCAGUGGAAGGUGAUCCAACAAGAGUGCAACAAGUUUUGUGCCACUUUUGAGAGCAUCAAGUCACGUCCCGUGAGCGGCAUCGACAUGCAAGACAUGGUAUGCAUGCAAGCGCCCUCUUUUUGUGUCAUUCGUUUGUGCUUGCAUGUCCAUUUCCAUAUCUGUUUGCCAAUAUGCUUGCAUGCAAUUCAUUUGUAG
Molecule: ribosomal RNA, 369 nt
Filed under: Triticum aestivum (bread wheat)
Lineage: Eukaryota; Viridiplantae; Streptophyta; Magnoliopsida; Poales; Poaceae
Description: partial small subunit ribosomal RNA
Source: RNAcentral